UACUAGAGUAGCACUCGCAUAUCAAUAAGCGGAGGAAAAGAAACUAACAAGGAUUCCCCUAGUAACGGCGAGUGAAGCGGGAAGAGCUCAAAUUUGAAAUCUUAAAGGGUUUCCCUUUACGAAUUGUAGUUUAAAGAAGUGUUUUCUGUUGAGGUUUUGGUAAAAGUUCUUUGGAAUAGGACAUCAUAGAGGGUGAGAAUCCCGUAUUUGACCUUUACUUUCAACUUUGUGAUACACUUUCAAAGAGUCGGAUUGUUUGGGAAUGCAGUCCAAAAUGGGUGGUAAAUUUCAUCUAAAGCUAAAUAUUGGCGAGAGACCGAUAGCGAACAAGUACCGUGAGGGAAAGAUGAAAAGAACUUUGAAAAGAGAGUUAAACAGUACGUGAAAUUGUCAAAAGGGAAGCGUUUGACACCAGUGUUGUUUUUCUGAAAAUCAAUUAAAGAACUGUUUAUGCUAAGUUGUUUAGACUUUAUCAGCUAUCUGUUUAGUUUUGAGCUUUUCUUUAAUGCACUUUUCAGUUAACAAGUCAACAUCAAUUUCUUUUGCUGUAAAAAAGCUUGAGGAAGGUGGCUUGAGAUUCGUCUUAAGUGUUUAUAGCCUCUUGCCUAUGCAGUCGGAGAGAUUGAGGUCUGCAGCGUAGAUCCUUCGGGGCUAAGUGCAUUUGUGCUAAGUUAUAGCAUUUUAUAGACAACUUGUUGACUAUGAUUUGUCUUGUAGCUUACUCGCUUAUGUUAUUUUACCUACGCUUAGGAUGUUGAUCUCUCACAGUCGAGC
RNAcentral lists this ribosomal RNA (774 nucleotides) under uncultured Neocallimastigales. RNAcentral's name for it is "partial large subunit ribosomal RNA". It matches the Rfam family "Eukaryotic large subunit ribosomal RNA", at positions 20 to 645 of the family's 3401-position model. Lineage: Eukaryota; Fungi; Neocallimastigomycota; Neocallimastigomycetes; Neocallimastigales. The record is from RNAcentral.